Gigantopelta aegis is the source of this 1306-nucleotide long non-coding RNA. RefSeq lists it as uncharacterized. NCBI's taxonomy places the organism in Eukaryota, Metazoa, Mollusca, Gastropoda, Neomphalida, Peltospiridae. The record is from RefSeq and is a predicted model, not a curated record. The transcript has 2 exons.
AAAAAAAGAAGAAAAGAAACGGAAAUCAGAUUUAAAAAGCUGGAAAGUAAUAUCCCUGUGCAUUGCCAAAUUCCUUUAAUUUUAAAUGAAUCAAGGUUUCCAAUUUUAGAUUGUGCAUGCAUAUUAUUCCUUUAAUAAUUUCUGCCAUUUAGUAUAGAAGAUUUUUUAUAGUACAAUAAUAGUCCAUGUUAGGUUAGGUUUUGUUGUCUUUUGCAAAAAUUGUUGUUAGCUGCUUUUUUUGCUUCUUUUUUUGCAUCUUUGUCAUUUUAAUAGAGACAUAAGAACAAGAUAUUUGUGGAUGAAAUUAAACAACAUCAGCUAAUAGUUCUACAUUUAGAUUUCAUUUGACACCAAUAUCACAGAUUCUUAGUAACAAUGGCUUAUUCUGGUAAAACCAGAUUGUAUGGUUUGUUAUACUCGUAACACCAUACAAAAUAAGCUUAGGAAAUUAUGUAGUGCUAAAAUAGGAGGGAGAGUAUUUACAACAUGUAUGUGUUUGAAACUUUCACAGUAUUAGACAUAAAAGCAUUAACAAAGGCAUGACUGAUGAUCAGUUUGGAUAUCUUUAUGAUGGUGGUUAUAUGCAGUUUUUGAGUGAUUCAGUUCAACAUUAUAAGUGUCCCCGUCACACCAACUGGUGUCUUUUAUAUCACAAUGACCAAUAACACAUGCAGUAUUGUUUGUAAAAUAGUCGCAUAUCACAAUGGCCAAUAACACACUGUAUUGUGAGUAAAAUAGUCGCCUUUUCAUACCAAUAGGUCACUGGGAACUCCAAAGAUGAGCUUCUUUUGACCUGUUCAAUUAUGGAGUUACCAGACUUUAUUUUUAUGUUUAAAUUUUAAAACUAUUUAUUGAUUGUUGUAAAUAUUUUUAUAUACAUUAAAAUGCAGCCAUUCAAUAAUUACAUAACACUCCUAGGGGAAGAGGAUAUUAUGAGAUGCAGUAUAAGGAAGGGUAAGGGGUGUUUGUUAAGAGGUAUGUAAUAUUUUCAAAACAGUGUCUUAUUUUAUUAAAGUUGAUGCAGCCAGUGAUGGUAAAUUUAUUUCAUUAAUUUACAUAUGAAUUUUUUUUAUCUUGUAUUUAAUAAAACAAAAAUCUAAACGGAAAAUCCAAUAAUAUUGGUCAGCUUGACAGGAAAGGAGAGAUGGAGGUGUGAGUAUUAUAUAAUUUUGAGGAGCUGCUUUUAACAUUAGAAAAUGUUUAUGAUGGAGGGGUACAAAAACCAAUGCCAGUCUUUGUGUUGAUCAGUUGUGGAAUGUCAUCCAUAUAUUUACAGCAUUUUGUGUAAUAAAUUGUGCAAAACUUA